CUAAGAACUUUCCAGAGAUGGAUUGGUGCCUUCGGGAACUUAGAUACAGGUGCUGCAUGGCUGUCGUCAGCUCGUGUCGUGAGAUGUUGGGUUAAGUCCCGCAACGAGCGCAACCCUUUUCCUUAUUUGCCAGCGGGUCAUGCCGGGAACUUUAAGGAUACUGCCAGUGACAAACUGGAGGAAGGCGGGGACGACGUCAAGUCAUCAUGGCCCUUACGGCCAGGGCUACACACGUGCUACAAUGGUCGGUACAAAGGGUUGCUACCUCGCGAGAGGAUGCUAAUCUCAAAAAGCCGAUCGUAGUCCGGAUCGCAGUCUGCAACUCGACUGCGUGAAGUCGGAAUCGCUAGUAAUCGCGGAUCAGAAUGCCGCGGUGAAUACGUUCCCGGGCCUUGUACACACCGCCCGUCACACCAUGGGAGUUUGUUGCACCAGAAGUAGGUAGUCUAACCGCAAGGAGGACGCUUACCACGGUGUGGCCGAUGACUGGGGUGAAGUCGUAACAAGGUAGGCGUAGAUGA
This 521-nucleotide ribosomal RNA is filed under the name uncultured bacterium. RNAcentral's name for it is "bacterial SSU rRNA". It matches the Rfam family "Bacterial small subunit ribosomal RNA", at positions 989 to 1509 of the family's 1533-position model. The record is from RNAcentral.